Molecule: microRNA precursor, 99 nt
Filed under: Anopheles culicifacies
Lineage: Eukaryota; Metazoa; Arthropoda; Insecta; Diptera; Culicidae
Description: microRNA MIR158
Source: RNAcentral
ACCAAAGUGUUUAGUGUGUGUUUGCCUUGCUUUAGAGUGGGAGAAGGAAUUGCUUCUCCCACUCUAAAGCAAGGCAAACACACACUAAACAGCAAAAUG